Molecule: ribosomal RNA, 382 nt
Filed under: uncultured eukaryote
Lineage: Eukaryota
Description: partial 18S ribosomal RNA
Rfam family: Eukaryotic small subunit ribosomal RNA
Source: RNAcentral
CAAUAGCGUAUAUUAAAGUUGUUGCAGUUAAAAAGCUCGUAGUUGGAUUUGUGGUGUGUCCAGUCGGCCUUUGCUCUCUGAGUGAUUGUGCUGUACUGGUCUGCCAUGUUUGGGUGGAAUCUGUGUGGCAUUAAGUUGUCGUGCAGGGGAUGCCCAUCGUUUACUGUGAAAAAAUUAGAGUGUUCAAAGCAGGCUUAUGCCGUUGAAUAUAUUAGCAUGGAAUAAUGAUAUAGGACCUUGGUACUAUUUUGUUGGUUUGCGCACUAAGGUAAUGAUUAAGAGGGACAGUUGGGGGUGUUUGUAUUCCAUUGUCAGAGGUGAAAUUCUUAGAUUUUUGGAAGACAAACUACUGCGAAAGCAUUUACCAAGGAUGUUUUCAUUA